UUGGGGGCGAACUUGGAGGCGGCCCGCGGAGCGCUGGGAGAGGGAGGGGCGCGGGGGCCGCGCGAGGAACCCCCGGCCCCGGAGCCUUUCCCGUCGCUCUCCAGACAGCCGCGGGGGAAGCCGCCCCUGCGCGCCCAACGCACGGCCAGGCCCGGGGCGGGAAGGGCGGUGGGGGGCGAGAACGCGACGCACCGAAGCUCUCGGGUCCCCAGCGCCUCGGAACCGGCCGCGGGAGGGCGGCCGCAGACGGCCCAGGUCCGGGCCGAAAGUAGGCCCGGGGUCCCCCGCGCGAAGCCCAGUCCGAGCUGGGCCGGGAGGGUGGCCCCUCAGGCUCCCCUCUGUGCAGCCGGGGCUUGCAGAGGACGCCCAGCAGGAUGCUCGAGGCCUCUGGGCACCUGAGCCCUGGGCGGCUCCGCGGAAGGAGAAUGGCCCAGCGGUGGGCUCGGAUACAGGCGGCGGGCAAUGCAGGUGGGGGCCGAGGCCGAGGGAGGAGGCCGGAGAACCCCAGCGGCAGACUCUGCAAACCUCCUCCAGGGGAGGAAGAGAAGCCUGGGAGAGAGGUUGUACUCAGAAGGCUGUUGGAUCACCAGAAGUCAAGAGUUGGGAGCUGGUGGAAAGACUGGAAGACCGGCGCAGGGAGAGGGCACCUGCCAUCUCUGGGAGGGGUGCAUACAGGCUCCCCGAGGAGGAGGGAGAGGUGAUGUCCUUCCUCAGUGGACCUGGAGAUGGUCAGAGUGGAAGGUGGCCUGAAGGAGGGGCUUGGAAUAACUGCCUGAAAGGCCAAGCUGUGGACAUCACCAGGCUGGCUGGGCCAGAGGCCUGUCCAGGGCAGAACUGCUUGCCACGCCCAAAUUCCCUCCUCUGUGAAGGCAGCUGGAUGAUGCCCACACCAGGACCUCAUGAAUGUCUCAAAUCUCUACCUACCGCAUCCGGGUAUCACCCAGAGCCGUCUUUCUAAUCACAUCCAGCUGCCUCCCACUGCUCGCAGGACUGUCCCCAGCCUCAUCUCACUCAAGACUCACAGUCCUCAGGGCCCCUGGGUGGCUCAGUCAGUUAAACAUCUGCCUUCAGCUCGGGUCAUGAUCCCAGGCUCCUGAGAUUGGGCUCUGUGUUGGGCUCCCUCCUCUGCGGGGAGCCUGCUUCUCCCUCU
Molecule: long non-coding RNA, 1150 nt
Organism: Canis lupus familiaris (dog)
Lineage: Eukaryota; Metazoa; Chordata; Mammalia; Carnivora; Canidae
Exons: 3
Source: RefSeq, a predicted model, not a curated record